GGCUAUGGCCAUGACACCCUGAACUGACCCAAUCUCAGCUGAUCUCAGAAGCUAAGCAGGGUCGGGCCUAGCCAGAGAAGAAGAGGUUGUCACAAGAUUUCCUGCCACAGCCC
Molecule: ribosomal RNA, 113 nt
Filed under: Peromyscus maniculatus bairdii (prairie deer mouse)
Lineage: Eukaryota; Metazoa; Chordata; Mammalia; Rodentia; Cricetidae
Source: RNAcentral